Molecule: ribosomal RNA, 482 nt
Filed under: uncultured bacterium
Lineage: Bacteria
Description: bacterial SSU rRNA
Rfam family: Bacterial small subunit ribosomal RNA
Source: RNAcentral
GACGAACGCUGGCGGCGUGCCUAACACAUACAAGUCAACUUGACUGAAGGAGCAAUCUGACAGUAGAGUGGCGCAAGGGUGCGUAACGCGUAAGUAACUUGCCCCAAGGUAAGGAAUAACGUCGAGAAAUCGGCGCUAAUACCUCAUAAUGCAGCGGAUCCGCAUGGAUAUGUUGUUAAAGGUUUACCGCCUUGGGAUAGGCUUACGUCUGAUUAGCUAGUUGGUGUGGUAACGGCACACCAAGGCUACGAUCAGUAACUGGUCUGAGAGGAUGAUCAGUCACACUGGAACUGAGACACGGUCCAGACUCCUACGGGAGGCAGCAGUGAGGAAUAUUGGGCAAUGCUCGAAAGAGUGACCCAGCAACGCCGCGUGGAGGAUGAAGGUAUUCUAUAUCGUAAACUCCUGUGAGAGCAGACGAAAGACAGAUUAUAAUCUGGAUGACUGUAUGCUCAGAGGAAGCCCGGCUAACUACGUGCCAG